UAUGUGAUCGUCUCUUGCAUAUCAAUAAGCGGAGGAAAAGAAACUAACAAGGAUUCCCCUAGUAACGGCGAGUGAAGCGGGAAGAGCUCAAAUUUGAAAUCUUAAAGGGUUUCCCUUUACGAAUUGUAGUUUAAAGAAGUGUUUUCUGUUGAGGUUUUGGUAAAAGUUCUUUGGAAUAGGACAUCAUAGAGGGUGAGAAUCCCGUAUUUGACCUUUACUUUCAACUUUGUGAUACACUUUCAAAGAGUCGGAUUGUUUGGGAAUGCAGUCCAAAAUGGGUGGUAAAUUUCAUCUAAAGCUAAAUAUUGGCGAGAGACCGAUAGCGAACAAGUACCGUGAGGGAAAGAUGAAAAGAACUUUGAAAAGAGAGUUAAACAGUACGUGAAAUUGUCAAAAGGGAAGCGUUUGACACCAGUGUUGUUUUUCUGAAAAUCAAUUAAAGAACUGUUUAUGCUAAGCUGUUUAGACUUUAUCAGCUAUCUGUUUAGUUUUGAGCUUUUCUUUAAUGCACUUUUCAGUUAACAAGUCAACAUCAAUUUCUUUUGCUGUAAAAAAGCUUGAGGAAGGUGGCUUGAGAUUCGUCUUAAGUGUUUAUAGCCUCUUGCCUAUGCAGUCGGAGAGAUUGAGGUCUGCAGCGUAGAUCCUUCGGGGCUAAAUGCAUUUGUGCUAAGUUAUAGCAUUUUAUAGACAACUUGUUGACUAUGAUUUGUCUUGUAGCUUACUCGCUUAUGUUAUUUUACCUACGCUUAGGAUGUUGAUCUACAGAGCGAGAGU
RNAcentral lists this ribosomal RNA (774 nucleotides) under uncultured Neocallimastigales. RNAcentral's name for it is "partial large subunit ribosomal RNA". It matches the Rfam family "Eukaryotic large subunit ribosomal RNA", at positions 23 to 635 of the family's 3401-position model. Lineage: Eukaryota; Fungi; Neocallimastigomycota; Neocallimastigomycetes; Neocallimastigales. The record is from RNAcentral.